RNAcentral lists this ribosomal RNA (428 nucleotides) under uncultured prokaryote. Its description in RNAcentral is "bacterial SSU rRNA". It matches the Rfam family "Bacterial small subunit ribosomal RNA", at positions 355 to 774 of the family's 1533-position model. The record is from RNAcentral.
UAGGGAAUAUUGCGCAAUGAACGAAAGUUUGACGCAGCGACGCCGCGUGAGGGAUGAAGGUCUUCGGAUCGUAAACCUCUGUCAAGAGGGAAGAAGUGUAGCAGCUCUAACAUAGCUGUUAUUUGACGGUACCUCUAGAAUAAGCCUCGGCUAACUACGUGCCAGCAGCCGCGGUAAAACAUAGGAGGCGAGCGUUAUCCGGAAUUACUGGGCGUAAAGCGCGUGUAGGCGGUCCUGCAAGUCUGAUGUGAAAGCCCCGGGCUUAACCCGGGAAGUGCAUUGGAAACUGUGGGACUUGAGUACUGGAGAGGAUGGGGGAAUUCCACGUGUAGCAGUGAAAUGCGUAGAGAUGUGGAGGAACACCAAUGGCGAAGGCAGCCCCCUGGGUCGAUACUGACGCUCAUGCACGAAAGCGUGGGUAGCAAACA